This 1164-nucleotide ribosomal RNA is filed under the name uncultured bacterium. Its description in RNAcentral is "bacterial SSU rRNA". It matches the Rfam family "Bacterial small subunit ribosomal RNA", at positions 224 to 1399 of the family's 1533-position model. The record is from RNAcentral.
GAUGGACCCGCGUUGGAUUAGCUAGUUGGUGAGGUAACGGCCCACCAAGGCGACGAUCCAUAGCCGACCUGAGAGGGUGACCGGCCACAUUGGGACUGAGACACGGUCCAGACACCUACGGGUGGCAGCAGUCGAGAAUCAUUCACAAUGGGGGAAACCCUGAUGGUGCGACGCCGCGUGGGGGAAUGAAGGUCUUCGGAUUGUAAACCCCUGUCAUGUGGGAGCAAAUUAAAAAGAUAGUACCACAAGAGGAAGAGACGGCUAACUCUGUGCCAGCAGCCGCGGUAAUACAGAGGUCUCAAGCGUUGUUCGGAAUCACUGGGCGUAAAGCGUGCGUAGGCGGUUUCGUAAGUCGUGUGUGAAAGGCGGGGGCUCAACCCCCGGACUGCACAUGAUACUGCGAGACUAGAGUAAUGGAGGGGGAACCGGAAUUCUCGGUGUAGCAGUGAAAUGCGUAGAUAUCGAGAGGAACACUCGUGGCGAAGGCGGGUUCCUGGACAUUAACUGACGCUGAGGCACGAAGGCCAGGGGAGCGAAAGGGAUUAGAUACCCCUGUAGUCCUGGCAGUAAACGGUGCACGCUUGGUGUGCGGGGAAUCGACCCCCUGCGUGCCGGAGCUAACGCGUUAAGCGUGCCGCCUGGGGAGUACGGUCGCAAGAUUAAAACUCAAAGAAAUUGACGGGGACCCGCACAAGCGGUGGAGUAUGUGGCUUAAUUCGAUGCAACGCGAAGAACCUUACCUGGGCUUGACAUGUAAUGAACAACAUGUGAAAGCAUGCGACUCUUCGGAGGCGUUACACAGGUGCUGCAUGGCCGUCGUCAGCUCGUGUCGUGAGAUGUUUGGUUAAGUCCAGCAACGAGCGCAACCCCUGUUGCCAGUUACCAGCACGUAAAGGUGGGGACUCUGGCGAGACUGCCCAGAUCAACUGGGAGGAAGGUGGGGACGACGUCAGGUCAGUAUGGCCCUUAUGCCCAGGGCUGCACACGUACUACAAUGCCCAGUACAGAGGGGGCCGAAGCCGCGAGGCGGAGGAAAUCCUAAAAACUGGGCCCAGUUCGGACUGUAGGCUGCAACCCGCCUACACGAAGCCGGAAUCGCUAGUAAUGGCGCAUCAGCUACGGCGCCGUGAAUACGUUCCCGGGUCUUGCACUCACCGCCCGUCA